Long non-coding RNA from Astatotilapia calliptera (eastern happy), 1177 nucleotides. The record is from Ensembl. Lineage: Eukaryota; Metazoa; Chordata; Actinopteri; Cichliformes; Cichlidae.
GAACUGGACUGUCAAAGUGGUGAUAGGUCUUAUGGAGUGAUGAAACCAAAUGCGAAAUUUGGGUUCAAAUUGUUGUCAACAUGCAUUCAGGAGGUCAGAAGAAAUGUACAUAUCUACAACCAUCUGUAAAAACACAGUGGAAACUAUGUCAUGAUUUGCCAGUGGAUUUGGGGAUCUUGUCAAAAUUGAUGGAAUUAUAAAUGUAGAAAUACACUGUCGGAUUCUUAUCCACCAUUCAGAACCAUCUGGAAAGAGUCUGAUUGGCAAGAGCUUCAUUUUUCAGCAUGACAAUGAUCCCAAGCACAGUGCCAAUGCAGUAAAUCCAUACUUGGAUAGAAACACACAAUGGAACAUGUCCAGUCAGUCACCUCGACAUAAUUGAAGCAGUCAAUGGUCAUGUGGUUAGAGAACAGCCAACAUCCAAAGCCACAAUCCAAAGAAGAGAUUUAAAUGUACUUCAGGAAGCCUGGAGAGCUAUUCCUGAAGACGUUUUUAAAGAAAUUGCCUAAGAGAGUUCAGGCUGUGUUGAGGAAUGAUUGUAACCAUGUCAAAUAUUGACUUUCAAACUUGUUAGAAUCUCUUUUUGUAAUUUAUGUUUGUACAUUUUUUUACAUUUUUCAGUAAAUUGCUGCACCUAUAUUCUAUUUUCCUAGCAAAAAAAAAAAAAAAAUUAGUGGUGCUUUUUGCACAGUACUGUACAUCCACCAUGAGACAUCUAAAUGUUAUACUUAAUAAUAAAUAUGAACACUUAGGUUCAAGUAAGGGGCAAGCUUAUUUUCUCCUUCUUUUAAACUCUAGAUAAGAAGAUCUGUUUCUUUAAAUUUCCAAAGGCAACAACAUUACCCCUCCCCCCUUUUUACAAUUUCACUCAUAUUUAGGGUAGUUUUAAUUUGAACAAUGAAAUCCAGCACUUUGACUGUCUUCCAAGAGACACUGUCUGAAAAUGUGCGCCUUCAUCUCCAUAUUUAAAUGAUCACCCAUGAAAUCUGGCUUCUCCCUGUGCCAGGAUGGCCAUUUGGAGCGGCUAUAAACACGUCUGAUUUCCAGUGUGACUAGACAACUCAUCACCCUUCUUUUCUAACAGAACCAAGACUUUAAUCAAGAAAAGAAAGAAAAGGCCUCAUGUAUAGAUUGUAAAUCAGUCUACUGUUAAGUCUGGUGCCAAGGCUUUCACGAA